Molecule: non-coding RNA, 76 nt
Organism: Phthorimaea operculella (potato tuberworm)
Lineage: Eukaryota; Metazoa; Arthropoda; Insecta; Lepidoptera; Gelechiidae
Source: the annotation of a GenBank genome assembly
GCCGCUGUAGCCCAGUUGGUAGAGGCGUCGUCAGUACAGAUGACGAAGGUCGCUGGUUCAAAUCCAGCCUGCGGUG